AUGGUACGGCGAAGGGCGAACAAAGCGAAUGUAAACGCAAGCACAAGAGAGAGGCCACAAGUGGCGGUGUGGAAGCCUUCCCAGGUCACCAGCUGCCACACGGCUACGGCUGCGGCUGCUAUAAAACCACACCGAGAGUCCGAGACGCCGCCACCAACAAACAAACAGAAGCCACGCCGGAGUCUCGUACCGCAAACGUCGGAGGCAGGAAGCAUCGUCCGCCGUCUCUUCCCGGAGAUGGCCGCCGUGGUGGUGCUGUUCGACUUCGACAAGACCAUCAUCCAGUGGGACAGCGACGACUGGGUCAUCACCAAGCUCGGGGCCGCCGACGCCUUCAACCGCCUGCGCCCCACCAUGCGCUGGAACUCGCUCAUGGACAGGAUGAUGGGGGAGCUCCACGCGCAGGGGAGGUCGGCCGACGACAUCCGCGUGUGCCUCAGGAGCGCGCCUCUCGACGCGCACGUCCUCUCCGCCAUCCGGACGGCGUCGGCAUUAGGGUGUGAUUUGAAGGUGGUGAGCGACGCCAACUCCUUCUUCAUCGAGACCGUCCUGGAGCACCACGGCGUCCUCGGCUGCUUCUCUGAGAUCAACACCAACCCCGCGCGCGUGGACGCCCAAGGGAGGCUCAGGAUCUCGCCGUUCCAUGAUCCCACGACCUCGCCCCAUGGCUGCAACCUGUGCCCUGACAACAUGUGCAAGGGCAAGAUAAUCCAGAGGAUUCAAGAGACAGACAGUGCCAAGAACAAGCACUUCAUAUACAUCGGUGACGGGAAGGGGGAUUACUGCCCCUCUCUUAAGCUAGGGGAAGGGGACUAUGUCAUGCCAAAGGAGAAUUACCCCCUCUGGAAUCUCAUCAGCAGCGAUCCCCAGCUUAUCAAAGCUGAGGUUCAUCCAUGGUCUAGUGGCGAGGAAUUCGAAAGGAUCCUACUUAAGCUGGUGAACAAGCUGAUCACCUCGCAUGCACAGGGGUCCCAAUUGGACUACAAAUGCGACAUGAGCAAUCCAGUAUCAACGGAAGUGGGUCACCAUCAGACUCUCCCUGUCCCAAAUUGA
Molecule: ribosomal RNA, 1053 nt
Filed under: Triticum aestivum (bread wheat)
Lineage: Eukaryota; Viridiplantae; Streptophyta; Magnoliopsida; Poales; Poaceae
Description: partial small subunit ribosomal RNA
Source: RNAcentral